AUGGUGUUGCGGGCGCCCAAAAAGUUCUACAAGGAAGUGGACAAGGCAAGAAGACAGUUCCUCUGGGCGCAAAAUGAAGUGGCCACUGGUGGAAAGUGCAAGGUCCGAUGGUAGGCGGUGACCACACCAGUGCGCGCAGGGGGCCUGGGCAUCCAUGAUCUGCCAAAGUUUGCCCGGGCUCUUCGCCUACGAUGGCUAUGGCUAGCAUGGACGCAGCCUUCCCGCCCUUGGGUUGGCACCAGCACUCCCUGCGACGACGCCGAUCGCACUCUGUUCACUACCUGCACGUACGUCACCGUUGGGGACGGCUCAACGACUUCCUUCUGGCUCUCUUCCUAG
Molecule: ribosomal RNA, 339 nt
Filed under: Triticum aestivum (bread wheat)
Lineage: Eukaryota; Viridiplantae; Streptophyta; Magnoliopsida; Poales; Poaceae
Description: partial small subunit ribosomal RNA
Source: RNAcentral